GACGAACGCUGGCGGCGUGCUUAACACAUGCAAGUCGAACGGAAAGGCCCUGCUUUUGUGGGGUGCUCGAGUGGCGAACGGGUGAGUAACACGUGAGUAACCUGCCCUUGACUUUGGGAUAACUUCAGGAAACUGGGGCUAAUACCGGAUAGGAGCUCCUGCUGCAUGGUGGGGGUUGGAAAGUUUCGGCGGUUGGGGAUGGACUCGCGGCUUAUCAGCUUGUUGGUGGGGUAGUGGCUUACCAAGGCUUUGACGGGUAGCCGGCCUGAGAGGGUGACCGGGCACAUUGGGACUGAGAUACGGCCCAGACUCCUACGGGAGGCAGCAGUGGGGAAUAUUGCACAAUGGGCGGGAGCCUGAUGCAGAAACGCCGCGUGCGGGAUGAAGGCCUUCGGGUUGUAAACCGCUUUAGCCUGUGACGAAGCGUGAGUGACGGUAAUGGGUAAAGAAGCACCGGCUAACUACGUG
This 468-nucleotide ribosomal RNA is filed under the name uncultured bacterium. Its description in RNAcentral is "partial 16S ribosomal RNA". It matches the Rfam family "Bacterial small subunit ribosomal RNA", at positions 28 to 507 of the family's 1533-position model. The record is from RNAcentral.